This 253-nucleotide ribosomal RNA is filed under the name Faecalibacterium prausnitzii. Its description in RNAcentral is "partial 16S ribosomal RNA". It matches the Rfam family "Bacterial small subunit ribosomal RNA", at positions 524 to 776 of the family's 1533-position model. Lineage: Bacteria; Bacillati; Bacillota; Clostridia; Eubacteriales; Oscillospiraceae. The record is from RNAcentral.
AACGUAGGUCACAAGCGUUGUCCGGAAUUACUGGGUGUAAAGGGAGCGCAGGCGGGAAGACAAGUUGGAAGUGAAAUCUAUGGGCUCAACCCAUAAACUGCUUUCAAAACUGUUUUUCUUGAGUAGUGCAGAGGUAGGCGGAAUUCCCGGUGUAGCGGUGGAAUGCGUAGAUAUCGGGAGGAACACCAGUGGCGAAAGCGGCCUACUGGGCACCAACUGACGCUGAGGCUCGAAAGUGUGGGUAGCAAACAGG